Molecule: ribosomal RNA, 407 nt
Filed under: uncultured bacterium
Lineage: Bacteria
Description: partial 16S ribosomal RNA
Rfam family: Bacterial small subunit ribosomal RNA
Source: RNAcentral
GACGAACGCUGGCGGCGUGCCUAAUCCAUGCAAGUAGAACGCAGUUGCUAACGGGUGAGUAACGCGUCGGUAAAUGCCUCAUAGAGGGGGAUAACUCUUGGAAACGAUAGCUAAUACCGCAUACUGUGAGAUGGACCGGCGUUGUAUUAGCUAGUGGGUGCGGUAAAGGCGCACCAAGGCGACGAUACAUCGCCGACCUGAGAGGUGGAUCGGCCACACUGGGACUGAGACACGGCCCAGACUCCUACGGGAGGCAGCAUUAGGGAAUCUUCGGCAAUGGACGGAAGUCUGACCGAGCAACGCCGCGUGAGUGAAGAAGGUUUUCGGAUCGUAAAGCUCUGUUGUUAGAGAAGAGGUAACUAACCAUAAAGGGACGGCUAACUACGUGCCAGCAGCCGCGGUAAUUC